CAGUCGAGCGGAACGAGUUAUCUGAACCUUCGGGGGACGAUAACGGCGUCGAGCGGCGGACGGGUGAGUAAUGCCUAGGAAAUUGCCCUGAUGUGGGGGAUAACCAUUGGAAACGAUGGCUAAUACCGCAUAAUGCCUACGGGCCAAAGAGGGGGACCUUCGGGCCUCUCGCGUCAGGAUAUGCCUAGGUGGGAUUAGCUAGUUGGUGAGGUAAGGGCUCACCAAGGCGACGAUCCCUAGCUGGUCUGAGAGGAUGAUCAGCCACACUGGAACUGAGACACGGUCCAGACUCCUACGGGAGGCAGCAGUGGGGAAUAUUGCACAAUGGGCGCAAGCCUGAUGCAGCCAUGCCGCGUGUGUGAAGAAGGCCUUCGGGUUGUAAAGCACUUUCAGUCGUGAGGAAGGUAGUGUAGUUAAUAGCUGCAUUAUUUGACGUUAGCGACAGAAGAAGCACCGGCUAACUCCGUGCCAGCAGC
RNAcentral lists this ribosomal RNA (476 nucleotides) under bacterium BSD128-4-1L. Its description in RNAcentral is "bacterial SSU rRNA". It matches the Rfam family "Bacterial small subunit ribosomal RNA", at positions 59 to 515 of the family's 1533-position model. RNAcentral also lists the same sequence under 2 other names. The record is from RNAcentral.